GGAUCGCUUAAACUGGUGAGGCGAGUGACGUUACUUUCGACUUCAUUUGUUCCAGCCAAGCUGCUGGUAAAAGUUGACGAGGGAGUUGUUGGUACCGGCGGCGACACUCCGUGUCACACUUCAGCUCAAUGAGCUCCAACUGCAGGUGGGCUGGAACGUCACUGAGAUCCAUGGAAACAGGGUUAGGUGAGGGGAACCGAACCCUCCCUCUCCCAGUAUAGGGGAAAUAAUUCCCCUUCCGGGAUCAGGGGGGAGAUGCACGGUCAUCCCCCUGCGCCAUCUCCCGUCUCCAUUUCCCCAUUCCUGGCGGCGUGCCUGCUGGAACCGCCGGUCAUAGUGGACCACUUUCCACUCUCCCCCAGUCAUCCUUGUUCCAAUUUUCUUUUUUCUUUUUCCAAAUGAAUUGUAUAGUCUUUGUUAUUUAUGUAAUAUUUUUUUGUUUUAGAUGUGCUAUUUAUUAAUAGGUAUACAUUUGUAAUAUAUUUCUAAUCAUAACAACCAAAACCCACAAAAAAACCAAACGUCAACGUUUCGGCUCUAAGGAGCCUUCCUCAGGUCUUGGCACACUGAAUUAAAUAAAUGCACUUGUACAAAAAAAGUGAUGUUAACUGUCCAAACGUCGAAACCAAACUGAGUUAGUAAAAACGUUCUUCCCUUUUAUACCCACUGUUUUUUUGUCCGAUGUUUAAAAAGAUCUUUUAAAAGAAUAUGUGCUUGUGUGCGUUGUGCCACACGUGAUUGUGUGUGCAUCCAGGGGUCUGUGCGUCCCAGUAGCAAAAGCAGCAUGAAGCUUAAGAUCAUGCCCAAGGUGAAGAGGGAGAAGGAAAAGCUCCACAAGCAGAAGUCAAACCGCUCGCUCGCUCUCAGGUUGGAACAGCCGAUAAAACACACCCAAAGUCAUCUAGCAGACAAAUUGGAAUAUGAACUGUUUUGAGCAGGUUACUUUGCUUCCCUCUAGUGGCCUGGUGAGGUAAAAUUUGCAGCUGCAUGGCCAGCUACUUGAAGCUGCUUUCACACAGCAUUCCUUUUCCCCCCUUUCCAUAUUGUCCACAAAUGUAUUCUCCUUUCCUUUUCGAGAGCCUCACCCACCGAAAUAGCCUUUGUCCUGAGAACAUGCGUGCUUGCACACUGCCGAUGUAGGUUGCGACAUUAACAUAAUUGGAUGUCAGCGUGCCAGCUCCGAUUGUUUUCAACACAAAGUAGCAUGCGUAGUGAUUUAAAAAAAAAAAAAAAAAAAAAAAAAAAAAAAAUUAAUACCUCUCUGACAUUUUCAAUCCAAAAAGUAUUUUAUGGGGUUAACAAUGAUUCCGCAAUGCUGGGUGUUUGCACGAGUGUGUGCGUGUUGCCAGUUUUUCCGUCAUGUAACAAAUAAGCUUUGGAAAUUAAAAUGACUUGGUGUGAUAAAUGUGCGUCUGCUGCUGCUUCCGACGUGUCUGACUUAAAAGUAAGUUUUAUUACCUGCAUGCAAGUUUGUUCGGUUUGUAUGAAAAUGCUUGUCGCAGAUUCUCCCUACAUUGUGACCAACAAAGCUGACACUAUGAAGUUGUCAUUUCUCUUAAUUGUUGAUAAAUGAAAUGUUUCGAGUGAGGAGCUAUAAAGGUGUUCUGUCAUAAACUGACUCUGCCUGUUUUCCCAACACAACUCUGCUUUCAGCUGGACUAUUGCAUGACAGGCGUACGUGUCAAAUGCCUCAGUGUGUUCUGUAUGUUGUUUGUGAAUCCAUCCAGUAAGGAAUAAACCGUAUUGGAAAACUAAGUGAUUGUUGCAGUGCAUUGUGCAAAUAAAGUGAAAAAUACCUCCACUUGUAAAUAGAAAAGUAAUGCACUUGUACCCAAACUGUGGCCUCAUGAGAAUCUAUGCAAACUAAUUAAACAACUAUGUAAAAAUUGUACUACAUUUAUAUUUGUUUUCUAAAUUUCUUUGAAAAUAUCACAUUCCAGUGAAAGACUUCCAUUGUGUGUAGUGACCCUGAACCAUUGAGUUAUUUCAAAAAUAAAAACUGUGAUGCAAAUGAAACAUAUUCGACAACCUUUCCUCCUAGUACUAGCACAGCAGACUUCGGCGUCACGUGAAUGACUUGAAUCAAGCACGAGAAAUGGACAGGUCUCGGACAUAAUUAGGACUUGGUCAUCUGAUUGGUCGCAUUUGGCGCCAAAAGGUAUGUAGACUAAGCUGAUUGGUUAAUGCAACAUCUAUUUCCGGUUUGGAUCGCUUAAACGGGUGAGGAGAGUGCCGUUACUUUCGACUUCAUUUGUUCCAGCCAAGGUAAGCACGCUGCUUCACGCACUAGCAAUUAAUGUUGUUUUUGCUGUGUAUUGACUUAUUUGAGCGUGUUUUUGACAUGUUUGACUCGGCACGGACUUGGAGUGUGAUGGCGUGCGUUAAUUUGUGCUUACACAGCUGAGUGAACAUGCGGGCUCGCCGUUUUGUAGCGCAAGGUUUGAACUUUACUCGACGCCCAGAUGCAUAAUUGGCUUCGUGGCGUCGCUGGCUUGGGGUUUGACAGUUUGCGUGAGUGGUGUUAAGGCAUUUUGAGUGUUUUAGCAGUGUUGUAAUGUACAAUUGCCGUCAUCCUCCUGGCGGGACUGUCGCUUAAACAUGACGUCACCGCGGCAGCGCUGCAGCUCCGCAUUUGUCAUUGUUUGCACUUUGUUCGACGCCCGAAUGCAUAAUUGGCUUCGUGGCGUCGCUGGCUUGGGGUUUUACACUUUGCGUGUGUGGCGCGAAGCAGUUUGAGUGUUUGCGUGGUGUUUUAGCGGUGUUGUAAUGCACAAUUGCCGUCGUCCUCGUGGCGGGAGUGUCGCUUGUAUAUGAUGUCAACGCGGUUGCCAUUUUGAGCAAUGUUUGAACUGUUGUAUGUUUACUGUCUUACAUUCUUAAUUUUUAAUUUCCAAUUAACUGUAUAGUCUGCUUUAUGUAAUUUUAUUUGUGCUGCGACAUUUUCCCUCUCAGGUCUUGGCACACCAAAUUCAAUGCACAAAUCGGCGAUGUUUAAUGUACUAACUCCCAAACCAAACUGAGUCAGUGAAAAGGUUAUUCCUUUAUACCUGCUGUUUACUUGGCCUGUUUUAAAAUUAUAAAGAAUGUCCAUUCGUGGCGGGACUGUCGCAUGUAUGUCAACGCUGCUGCUUCGCGAUUGCCAUUUUGAGGAAAGUUCGAACUGUCAUGUUUACUGUGUGUCAAAUUUUUUUUUUUUUUAAAUCCCAAUGAAUUGUAUAGUCUUAUGCAAUUUAUUUUAGAUGUGCUAUAUUAAUUGGUAUGAAUUUAUAAUUUAUAAUAAAAAUCAACCAAACGCUGUGCAUCGACAACAUUUUCCCUCUCAGGUCUUGGCACAGCAAAUUCAAUGCACAAAUAGGUGAUGUUUACUGUACAAACUGAAGGAACCUGUUUAAAAUCACCUAUUACUUCCGAGGUUGUAAGAGUGUUCGUUUUCGUGGAAGAACUACAAUUAUAACGUUACAAGUCAACAAAUUUAUUCCUGACAGAGGAG
Long non-coding RNA from Phyllopteryx taeniolatus (common seadragon), 3490 nucleotides. RefSeq lists it as uncharacterized. The transcript is spliced from 2 exons. NCBI's taxonomy places the organism in Eukaryota, Metazoa, Chordata, Actinopteri, Syngnathiformes, Syngnathidae. The record is from RefSeq and is a predicted model, not a curated record.